GCCACCCUGGCCCCGUCGCCGCCGCCCACCCCGACAGGCCUUCCGUCGCCGGCCGCUCAGCCCCAUCGCCACCCUGACCCCAGCGCACCUCUCGCCGCCGACCGCUCGGCCCCGUCGCCGGCCCCAACCCCAACGCGCCUCCCAUAGACGGCAGCUCGGCCCCAUCGCCGCCCCGACCCCAGCGCGCCUCCCGCAGCCGGCCGGUCAGUCCCAUCGCCGCCCCCGAUCCCUGUGCGGCUCCGUCUGCCAGCUGCUCAGUCCAGGCAGGCCUUCCGCCACCGACCCAACCGGCCCGACGCACCCCAAGCCGCUGGACCUCCAUCGGCCAUCGCAACCAACGACCGCCGUCGCGCCCGCCGCAGUUGCCCCAGCUAACGGACAUCCUCACCCCGCAACCCCCGCCAUCCUCCUCUCCACGCAUCGGCUGUUGCCUGCCUCCCGCCCGACACUGCUUCCUGAACUUCCUACCGCAUACCAGUUUCCUUCAUCGCGACUCCUCCUGUCGAUGGUGUAUCAUCAUUUCUGGAAAAAAGCAGCGGAUGGAUAGGCUCGAUGUGUGUGUUCAGCCAUCAUCACACACACUCAAACGUCGACAGCAUGUACAACACCAUCGGUGAGCUGAAGCACAUCGUAGCCGUGGAUAUUUACCAAGGCAAGGAUCCUCCGUGCCGCUCUGCUGCUCGCUACCCACAUGAAC
This is a long non-coding RNA of Triticum dicoccoides, 697 nucleotides long. RefSeq lists it as uncharacterized. Lineage: Eukaryota; Viridiplantae; Streptophyta; Magnoliopsida; Poales; Poaceae. The record is from RefSeq and is a predicted model, not a curated record. The transcript has 3 exons.